This is a long non-coding RNA of Limulus polyphemus (Atlantic horseshoe crab), 590 nucleotides long. RefSeq lists it as uncharacterized. NCBI's taxonomy places the organism in Eukaryota, Metazoa, Arthropoda, Merostomata, Xiphosura, Limulidae. The record is from RefSeq and is a predicted model, not a curated record. The transcript is spliced from 3 exons.
GAAGACAAUUUUUGUUAUGUAUUUGCUUAUCCACUUUUUUUUACAUAUUUUGUUUUUCUCACUGUGUAUUACCCAAUGUUUUCUACAGAUAUCUCUGAUGCUUUGCUGCAGUAGAAUAUCAACAUGAAGUUCAAUAUUUUUAUUUUCAGUUUGGAUAAAUAAGAAAGUCAUUGUUGAGUCUUUCUUGUUUCAAUGUGUUGUAUGUCAAUUUUUUGUUUCACUAUAGAAUCAGACAUAAAAUAUGUAGUAUUUAUAUAGCUUAGGACUGCUUACCUACAUAACUAAAUUUGAAAUGUUAGGUUUAUUAAUCAUAUCAUGUUUUAAGUUAGUGAGCUGUGGAGACUGUAUGUAAUAUUAACACUAGUUGUUAUUUCUGUUAACCCUUUCAAGCUUUGUUUGAUUUUAGAACAUGUCUGUUCAAGUGAAAAUGGAACAUCCUGAUGAUCUACUAGAAGUUGUUUCAAAGUUCAGUUACAGUGAUGAUGAGAAUCAGGAUAGUUCGUUCUAUAACGUUGUGAACCUGACAACAGAAACUGAAUUUCAAAGAGAGAUUGAAUCAGGGUUAGAAAGAACAUGUGUUUUGCUGAAUA